AAACUUCGUAGGGUAAAGUCUUUGUGGUAUAAACGUGGUAUUUGAAUCUGCGUUGACGUGUAAGCGGCAAAAUAAAGAAUACGUAUGGAAAUACUGUGCCGUAAAUGUGGCAAUGAGUGUGAAACUCUCAAUCGAAGAUGAACGUAAUAAGGGCUCAAUUCAGGGAAACGCAAACCGGACUGACACGAGAACAGAAAUCAAAGUUUUAUGUUUUGACAUUAGCUCAUUGAGUCAAAUUCGGCAGGUUGUGAUAUGCUCCGUAGGAGUUUUUGGAUUUUAUUUGCUGUAUGGUUACCUGCAGGAGUUAAUAUUUACCCUUGAUGGUUUUAAGCCUUAUGGAUGGUAUCUAACCUUGGUACAAUUUGCUUACUAUACUGUUUUUGGAUUUGUGGAAACAUCUGUAAAAAAUGUGACUAGAAAAAUACCAAUCAAAACAUACUUGCUCCUGGCUAUGUUGACGUUGGGCACAAUGGGCUUCUCCAAUUCAUCUCUUGGCUACCUUAACUAUCCAACCCAGGUUAUUUUCAAAUGCUGUAAACUGAUACCAGUUUUGAUUGGCAGCAUACUGAUUCAGCACAAGCGUUAUGGUUUACUAGAUUUUGCUGCGGCUGGCUGUAUGUGCUUGGGUCUGACACUGUUCACUCUUGCAGACAGUCAGGUCUCUCCUAAAUUUAGUGUUCUAGGAGUGUGUAUGAUUUCGUGUGCGCUUUUGUGUGAUGCUGCUAUUGGAAAUGUUCAGGAGAAAUCCAUGAAACAGUACAAAGCAGCAAACAGUGAAGUUGUGCUGUAUUCAUACUCCAUUGGAUUCCUGUACCUACUGUCUGUUAUGUUUUUCACUGGUGAUUUACACCAAGGAAUCAAUUUUUGUUCCCAGCACCCCUUGGAGACAUAUGGCUACGCAUUGCUAUUCUCAGUAUCUGGUUACCUUGGAAUCCAAAUUGUACUGACACUCGUACGCACAAGUGGGGCCUUUGCCGCUGCUACCGUCACCACAUGUCGCAAGGCUGUGUCCAUUAUCAUCUCCUUCAUAUUCUUUGACAAGCCAUUCACAUUCCAGAGCAAUGGACAAGAAUAACUGCUGGCCUGUAAAUGAAGGUCUUCCUGCCGGGGAGAGUGGCAGAGGACACUCCUGUACUACACAGACGUAAUAAUAGCUUCAAACAAGCGACUUCCCUCAUGUUUCCAGUCAGUAAUGAUAUGUAUGGUCUGGCAUGCUUGUUGUACUGGGAAUUUACAUAAAUGUGUACAGCAAGAACAGAGGUAAAACAGACAUUCCAGAACUGUUUGGGAAUGUACAACGAAAACUUCAACAUUUGUUAAUAAAACUG
This 1328-nucleotide unclassified non-coding RNA is filed under the name Schistocerca americana (American grasshopper). RNAcentral describes it as "adenosine 3'-phospho 5'-phosphosulfate transporter 2, transcript variant X1". Lineage: Eukaryota; Metazoa; Arthropoda; Insecta; Orthoptera; Acrididae. The record is from RNAcentral.